Acanthaster planci (crown-of-thorns starfish) is the source of this 529-nucleotide long non-coding RNA. The record is from RefSeq and is a predicted model, not a curated record. Lineage: Eukaryota; Metazoa; Echinodermata; Asteroidea; Valvatida; Acanthasteridae.
UUUAACACAGGAGUGGUUCAGUCUGUGGAAUGUUAAGGCAAUGGUAGUUGAUUUGAUUUCUUUGUUUCUGUGUGUUUCUGUGUACUAAAAUGCAGUUGACAGCGGCUAACAUCUUGUUGUGAAGGUUCUGCAUCAUUUGAUAAGUGCUGUAGAGGCUAAUGUACAGUUUGACAACCCCCCCCUCCGAUAUCAGCCAUGGCACCAAUAGGAAAUGUGACCUCCAUAGACAACCUGUCACCAUCUUACUCAGCUACCAUGGCACUAUACAGCGUAACCUCCGCACAGUAUGAACCAACGUUUUACACAACACUCGCCCCCACCUCAGCAGGAAAUGAAUUAAGUGAGCUUGCGAAGUGGCUGAUACCAGUUGUGAUUUCGGCUUUGGGCGUUGUUGUUGGAAUCGUGGGACUCGUAAUACGUAAGAAACGGUGCUGUUCAAAAAGAGGUAAGAACUAUAACCCCAAGUCCCUAGGCCUUUGUACUAGGAACCAUCCUCAGUCUUUUAACCCUAACUUUCCAGAGUGAUUUA